Molecule: unclassified non-coding RNA, 200 nt
Filed under: soil metagenome
Description: partial contains internal transcribed spacer 2 and large subunit ribosomal RNA
Source: RNAcentral
GUGUUGGAUGGCUCGGCGAGGGCUUCGGCCCCCGCCCCUCCUAAAGAAAAUGACGGCGGCCUCGUUGGACCCCCGGUACACUGAGUUCUUCACGGGACACGUACUGGACACAAGGGCCCACGGGACACGGUCUCACUCCCCUCGGGAGAACUUUUAUCAAGGUUGACCUCGGAUCAGGUAGGGAUACCCGCUGAACUUAA